CGCGUAGGCGGCAAGGCAAGUCAGAUGUGAAAUCCCCGGGCUCAACCUGGGAAUUGCAUCUGAAACUGCAGUGCUUGAGUCCUGGAGGGGAUAGUGGAAUUCUCAGUGUAGCGGUGAAAUGCGUAGAUAUUGGGAGGAACACCUGCGGCGAAGGCGGCUAUCUGGACAGUGACUGACGCUGAUGCGCGAAAGCCAGGGGAGCGAACG
This 207-nucleotide ribosomal RNA is filed under the name uncultured bacterium. RNAcentral describes it as "partial 16S ribosomal RNA". It matches the Rfam family "Bacterial small subunit ribosomal RNA", at positions 568 to 774 of the family's 1533-position model. The record is from RNAcentral.